CCUACGGGAGGCAGCAGUGAGGAAUAUUGGUCAAUGGACGGAAGUCUGAACCAGCCAUGCCGCGUGCAGGAAGACGGCUCUAUGAGUUGUAAACUGCUUUUGUACAAGGGUAAACCUGAAUACGUGUAUUCAGCUGAAAGUACUGUACGAAUAAGGAUCGGCUAACUCCGUGCCAGCAGCCGCGGUAAUACGGAAGAUGCGAGCGUUAUCCGGAUUUAUUGGGUUUAAAGGGAGCGUAGGCGGUUCCAUAAGUCAGCGGUAAAAUCGUGCGGCUCAACCGUACCGUGCCGUUGAAACUGUGGGACUUGAGUAUGCGCAGGGUACAUGGAAUUCGUGGUGUAGCGGUGAAAUGCUUAGAUAUCACGAAGAACUCCGAUCGCGAAGGCAUUGUACCGGAGCAAGACUGACGCUGAGGCUCGAAAGUGCGGGUAUCAAACAGGAUUAGAUACCCGUGUAGUC
Molecule: ribosomal RNA, 459 nt
Filed under: uncultured bacterium
Lineage: Bacteria
Description: partial 16S ribosomal RNA
Rfam family: Bacterial small subunit ribosomal RNA
Source: RNAcentral